Episyrphus balteatus (marmalade hoverfly) is the source of this 1291-nucleotide long non-coding RNA. RefSeq lists it as uncharacterized. The transcript has 4 exons. The record is from RefSeq and is a predicted model, not a curated record. Lineage: Eukaryota; Metazoa; Arthropoda; Insecta; Diptera; Syrphidae.
ACUUGACGUCGCGAAACUGAUAUUUAGUUGAAGUUGGAGCGUGUUCAGAAUCGGUCGGUUUCACACGCGCUCUCAGCUGCUAUAUUCUUUUUAUUGAGCUCUUCAUCAUCAUCAUAAUUUUUUCCAUACCAUCGGAAUUAUACAGUUGUUUUUUAUCUCUCUACUACUUAUGUCCACUGUUUUGUGUUGAGUGAGUGACCCAUUAUUCAAAAAGAGUGUUGUCUCUUGUUUUGUAGAAGAAUAGAAAAACCUAAAAGGAAAAAGCUACAAAAAAAAGUCUGAAAAUCUGUUAAAGAAUUCAGUGUCUUGUGAAUAAUAUUUUUUUUUUUUGGAAAGUCUUAAUCUAUAGCCCCCUUUUUUUCAUUUAGCCCCCAAGAGUUUUUUUGCGAACGUUUUUCGCCAAGUUUUUUGCUUUUGUUGUUGAAACUCUCCACUAUCUCGUGUUGUUGAGUGUUGUGUGAGUAUAUUGUAGAAAAUUUUUUGUGACAUCACAAAAUUUUUUGUCUUGUCGUCGUCACUGUCAAUUGUCGUCGCAAGUCGUAAUCUCCAAGCUCCGGUUUCGGUUCGAUUCGGUUUUUGGUUUUUUCUCGUGUCGUGUGUGUUGAGUGAAGUGUUGUGUGUGUCUAUUUGGCAUAAACUGCUUUUUUCGGAGUCCAUCUUGGUCCAGCAGCCAGCAAGUAUCUCCAACAUUACGAUAUAUAAAAUCUUGUGUCUGCUUGAUAAAUUAGAUACAAACAACAACAACAACAAGACUCCUUUACAAUAAAAUACAAAAAUAAAAACAGUAAAACAUCAGAAUAAUUCGUAUACAAAAACAAUUUUUUGGAUUGCUCUUCGUGCUCUCGGAAUAAAAUUUGCAUUCACAUUUCGGAUUCGCAUUUUAUAUGCAACAAAGGUAAGCUAUUGAGCAGCUAAACAAUAUAAGAACAUGCGGUAGGUAAGAACGCAAAGAAAAAUACAUCUAUACAAAUAAAGUAGGUAGUUGCGGGUAGUAAGGCCUUUCGGUUUUAUGGUAGGUACCCAAAAUACAGAAAUUAAAUUUCAAAUGAUCCCAGUAUCUAGAGGUCACAAUUCUAUUUAAAGCUAAAACUUAUAUAAAAAUAGCCUUGUUUAAUUUUCUUGUGAUCCAGAUCAGAUCAAGUUAGCACUGCCAUCCCCUCCAAAAUCUUAAUACGAGCUUUAAAUCAAAAAAACAGUAUGCCAAUAAUUGUCGUGAUUUUGUCGUAGACAGAUGGCAUUUAAAAAAAAUUGUCGUGUCAUUAUUUUGGAUAUUAGGCCCCCUAAACUGAAU